UGUUGCUAUAAACAUGAUAAACAUUUUAUAACAUUAAUCAAAUCAAAAUGUUCAUAAUUGUAUAUUGUCAUUUAUUUAGCACUAUUUUUAUACUAAACACCUGGUUCAAAUAUGUACAUCCGUUGCAUAUUCAUAUAAAUUUAAAUAAAACAUAUAAGGUAAAUCAAUACAUUGUCUUUUUAAGAUCUAAUGUUGUUUUUUUACACCUGAAUUAACUUUUCUAACAUGCUCCAUCAUAAACUCAAAUACUGUGGAUUCAUUUAUUUGAUGAAUUUAGGAAAACUUGCGUUGCUUGGAUAUUUAAUUUCAUUUUUUUGGCAAAGUUUGCAUUUCUUUUUAAAAAUGUGUAGUUUGUUCAUCAUUUAAAUUCAUCACAUGAAAUCCACAAAAUUGGUAUUCAACUAAUAUUAAUAAAUCCACAUGAGUUAGAAGUUAUACAAACAAUAAUUGACAUGAUU
This 458-nucleotide long non-coding RNA is filed under the name Mytilus galloprovincialis (Mediterranean mussel). The record is from RNAcentral. Lineage: Eukaryota; Metazoa; Mollusca; Bivalvia; Mytilida; Mytilidae.